Long non-coding RNA from Trematomus bernacchii (emerald rockcod), 451 nucleotides. RefSeq lists it as uncharacterized. The transcript has 3 exons. The record is from RefSeq and is a predicted model, not a curated record. Lineage: Eukaryota; Metazoa; Chordata; Actinopteri; Perciformes; Nototheniidae.
CAGGUUGAUCCAAUGGCACACACAGUCAUCAUGGGAAUUGUGAAUGAGAACCAUCACUGGAUGUUGGUGAAAACCCUCUUCUUGGAUCCACUUGGAGAAGGGAAAGGCAAAAUGAAGGUGUGCCUGCAGUCUACAAGAGCCUUUAUGAGGAUGAAAGGCUGCAAGGUGUCAAGGUGGACAUGCAGUACCCUCCCCCAUAAUCGUCAACAAGACAGCACAUCCUGUGGUGUCCUGGCCUUAAAAGUGAGUGUGAAAUGCAUUUACCCAAACAUUACUCUCAAAUUCAAAUUCAGUAGCAAUUAGACUGAAUAUCUUGACUUGCUUUUAUACAUCUUGAUCAAAGAUGUAUUGAAUUGUGUAAAACUACACAUAUACAACAUGUAAUUCUUUAAAUCUGUUGGGUAAUUUGUCUGUAUUCUGUCAUAAAAUGCACCCCACCCAAAAAUAUGUU